Molecule: ribosomal RNA, 900 nt
Filed under: Fusarium oxysporum
Lineage: Eukaryota; Fungi; Ascomycota; Sordariomycetes; Hypocreales; Nectriaceae
Also listed under: 2 other names
Description: LSU rRNA
Rfam family: Eukaryotic large subunit ribosomal RNA
Source: RNAcentral
GCAUAUCAAUAAGCGGAGGAAAAGAAACCAACAGGGAUUGCCCUAGUAACGGCGAGUGAAGCGGCAACAGCUCAAAUUUGAAAUCUGGCUCUCGGGCCCGAGUUGUAAUUUGUAGAGGAUACUUUUGAUGCGGUGCCUUCCGAGUUCCCUGGAACGGGACGCCAUAGAGGGUGAGAGCCCCGUCUGGUUGGAUGCCAAAUCUCUGUAAAGUUCCUUCAACGAGUCGAGUAGUUUGGGAAUGCUGCUCUAAAUGGGAGGUAUAUGUCUUCUAAAGCUAAAUACCGGCCAGAGACCGAUAGCGCACAAGUAGAGUGAUCGAAAGAUGAAAAGCACUUUGAAAAGAGAGUUAAAAAGUACGUGAAAUUGUUGAAAGGGAAGCGUUUAUGACCAGACUUGGGCUUGGUUAAUCAUCUGGGGUUCUCCCCAGUGCACUUUUCCAGUCCAGGCCAGCAUCAGUUUUCCCCGGGGGAUAAAGGCGGCGGGAAUGUGGCUCUCUUCGGGGAGUGUUAUAGCCCACCGUGUAAUACCCUGGGGGGGACUGAGGUUCGCGCAUCUGCAAGGAUGCUGGCGUAAUGGUCAUCAACGACCCGUCUUGAAACACGGACCAAGGAGUCGUCUUCGUAUGCGAGUGUUCGGGUGUCAAACCCCUACGCGUAAUGAAAGUGAACGCAGGUGAGAGCUUCGGCGCAUCAUCGACCGAUCCUGAUGUUCUCGGAUGGAUUUGAGUAAGAGCAUACGGGGCCGGACCCGAAAGAAGGUGAACUAUGCCUGUAUAGGGUGAAGCCAGAGGAAACUCUGGUGGAGGCUCGCAGCGGUUCUGACGUGCAAAUCGAUCGUCAAAUAUGGGCAUGGGGGCGAAAGACUAAUCGAACCUUCUAGUAGCUGGUUUCCGCCGAAGUU